Molecule: long non-coding RNA, 19610 nt
Filed under: Populus trichocarpa (black cottonwood)
Lineage: Eukaryota; Viridiplantae; Streptophyta; Magnoliopsida; Malpighiales; Salicaceae
Description: long non-coding RNA (PTRI_LNC001259)
Source: RNAcentral
UCCGGAAUAUUUUUUUUCAAGAUAAACAAAAUUGAUUCGGCCACAAAAUCACAGAAGCCACCAAUCUAGUUACAUACUAAAGAUAAUUAAUAGCUUUUGUCAGACACUAGUUCUAUAUAAAUAUUAAAUAAUAAAUCUACCUAGUACAUUAAAGUAAAUAAAACAGACUUAUAAUCUCACGAUGUUUAUACUCGAUACUCGAUUGUAUUGGAACUGCGGUGGAAAGAUCAGCAAUUGGCAGCAAACAAUUAGCAAGAAGCGCACAGCCCGUUGCAGUAAAGUAAGUUUCCCAGUGAUAAUGGGGUGGAGGAAUGCAAUUAACAAUGUCAAUAUCUAUUUCAAAGAGCUCUUCUUCUCCUUCCUCUUCACUGUCUGCCACCGCCACCGGACCUGAUUUGCUGGCUUCUACAGGUUGUGCUGCGCCUUCGAUUAUAGCAGAAGCCAUUCUUCUUUCCGUGCUUGCCAUGGAGCUUUGAAAUUACGUUAAGAGCAAGUAGGAGGAUAAGUAUGUAAGGUCCUUCCUAUAUAUAUUUUUGAAGGUUCUUGCGUGCGUGGUGAGGAGCAGGCAGUGGCAGGUGGUAAGUAGAACGGUCUUCAACAAAUCUACAGCAAUCGAACUAUUGUUUCAAAGCACUAGAUAAUUCCGCUGCAGCAAUUCCACCAAAUCAGACAUGCUGACAUAUGCAUUUUGUCAUUAAUUUGGUUUGUCAAGAUAACAUGAUUUGUGAUUGUUUUUGUAUUAUACUAACUUAUUUUUUAAAUUAUUUUUCAUUUAAAAAUAUAAUAAAAAACAAUUUUCUAUGAAGUUUUUUAUGGUGUUUGAUGAGCCAAUGUGUUAAUAUUAAAAAUUAAAAAAAAUAUUAUGUUGAUGUAUUUUCAAUUAAAAAAUAUCAUAUACUAUAAUUUCAAACACACACUUAUUAGAUAUUAAAGUGAUUAUAAAAACUUUAUUAACUGAGAAUAAAAUAUCAUAUUUAAAGAUGAAAACUAAAAAAAUUAAUACUAUUUGUUGCACCUUGGUGGACGUUGCGAUAGGACCUAAAAUAUACAUCAUGGAAAAAUAAGAGUUGUUACCUAAUAAUUAAAGGAAACUGAGGGUCUUAAAGAUAAACACCAAUUCUAGAGAUUCAUGCAAGGGGUUAGUUAUGCUAAAGAAAAGAAUGGUGAUGCCCUUACAGUAUUCUUUCUUACGAAAAAAUAUCUUUACCAGGUGUUUUCUUUUAAAUUUGUUGUUUUUAUUGCCAUUAAUUAUCCUAAUUAUUUUUAGCUCAUUUUUAAUUUUUUUUAUUUUAUGAAAAAAUUGAUAUUAAUCCCUAAAAAUAAAAAAAACUCUUUAAUUUAGUUAUUCUUAAAAGAUAAAUCUUAACGUUUGUCCCUUCUAAAAUGAGUCUUAUUGUUUUUUUUUUAAUUUGUCAUUGAACCCCUUAAAAAAAGAUUUGUUUAUUACAAGAUUUUGUCAUCGGUCUCAUGCAAAAUGAGACAUGUAGAAAAAGGACAUUUAUCUCUAAAAAAAGAGAUUACAAUGAAGUUGUUAAACAAAGGUAGUGGGUCUGUAUUGAUGGUGAUAAUUAGGUGAUAAUUAGGCCUUGAACCAUAUCGAUGAUGAGAAUUAAACUUUUUAAAUUCAGGUAUGUUAGUUUAAUGGGUCCUUUGAUUUUGACCCGUGAAUUUAAUAAAUUUGGCAUUAAAUACAAAUAUACAUGCAUAAAUAUUUUUUUAAAAGAACAUUCUUAUUCAAAAGCUAACACAAUAUAAAAAAUUUGGAUUUUUAUGCUAAGACAAUUUUUUUAUCAGAGUGCUAAAACGUAAAAAGUAUUUUUGACCUUUUUUUUUUAUUUUAACAAAUAAGCUAGAAAGGUGAAUGCUUUUUUUUACAAUGCUAGAAUAUGCAAAACAAUGAUUUUUAGAAAGGACUUGGACAUAAAAAAAAAUAUCAUGUAUUAUUUUUUUCUCAAAGCCUACAACUAGAUUAUGAUUUCGGGCCAAAAUAUUAUACAAUAUACUAAAAAGGAUUAGUGCCUCUAUUACUGUUUACCUAGACACAAAGCAUUGUAGAUUGGAGCAGUGUAAUGACAAACCAGCCCUUGCCACAGAGAGUUUCAAGGACAGCGUGGGAGAUGUGAGGUUGUCUUUUUGUUGGGAUGCAUUUGGUAUUGAAAGGAUAGUUGGAGAGAAAAUGGUCAACUCAAGUUUUGGUAGGGCUAGGGGCCCUGGGAUACGGACACCUAGCGUUGGGACUGAGGUUGACAUGCCUUGGGUGUGAGCAAAACCCACGCCCCCCGUGGAGACACGUGGUGCUUGGGUUGCCCUGCCUGUGCGCAGGGUAGACCCGCGCGUACACGUGGUGCUUGGACUGGCUUGCCCUGGACGCUAACCAGACCACGCUCCACAUGGGUCUGGACAAGGCCCAAUCCCUAACCUCCUUGUAUCCGGCCACGGACCCAUCCCCCAACUCCCUUGGGUUCGGCCAACAACCCCAACUCGCUCAGGUCCGGACAUGAACCCAAAUCAUCCCCGAACCUCCUUGGGUCCGGGCACAGACCCAAGCCCCCAAACCCCUUGGGUCCGGACUCGAUACCAAACCCUAACCAUCCUGGGUCCGGCCACGGACCCAACCCCCAACCCCUUUAGGUCCGGACUUGGUAUCAAACCCUAACCACCUUGGGUCCUGCUACAGCCCAACCCGCAACCCCCACUUUGAAUUAUAAUAAAAUAAUAAUAUUAGUAUUAUUUGUGUUAUAAAUAUUAUUAUUUUUAUUAUAAUUAAUAGUAUGAAUAUUAAAUAUAUCAUUAUUUGUAUUAUUAAUAUUAUUAGUUUUAUUAUAAUUAUUAUAAUUAAUAAAAUAAUUAAUAAAUUUGAAAAAAUAUUAUUAUUAAUACUGAAAAAUUACAAUUUUUUGUAUUAUAAAAUUUCAUGGUAUUUUUUCAUGAAAAUAAAAAAUAUGUCCGCCGCGCGGACACCCAACUAUUGCAUACUAUUUUACAACGCCAAGAGGAACUCAUAUUCCUGCCUAAAUUUUGGGUGCACAAGUGUAUGCCAGCCUAAACUUCCUUUUAAAACCACAAACACAAGUCCUAUAUAUAUAUAUAUAUAUAUAAUCCACGCAUGUAUUUAUUUUUUAAACUUUGGCUGGAGACUUCGAUUUAAAAAGAAAGCUUUGAAACGCCAGUUCCAGACAAAUACUUCACAAAACAAACUCCAAUUUCGAAACAAAUGCAGACUUUAAAGGAAAGAAACUGCCACUUCUUAUCUUAUUUUACUUGGGUCAAAAUUGAAAACAUUGACUUAAACAUGUUAGGAUAAUCCUCAUAAUGCAGACUUCAAGUAUAUGAUACAGGGUCUAUUUAAGAACAAUUUCGGGGUUUCAAAGGGAGGUCCAAUGUCAGUUGAUCAUGUUUUCUUAGAAUAAAAAAUAUGCAAUCAUGGACAAUAUUAAUUAACAAUAAGCAUGGGUGUCAAAGUGAUUUCUCAUUAUGCUAAUGUUGGGUUCCAGAAUAUUAUACACGCAACGAAAAUAAUAAAACAAAAUUAUUUGAGAGUCUCUAAGAUCUCGUUAGACAAAUCUAAAGUUGUUUAGAGAUUUAUUACCUGAAAACCUAAUUUUUUUCGGUUUUAAAUAACUUUUUAAAAGCCGAGUUGUCAUAAAUCACAAGUCGUCCAAUUUUCCGGCCUUCAACGGUAAAUCUCCUAAAUCUCUAUUUAGGAGAAAGGAAUUGUUAUGCCUAAAGUGCUAGCUAUCUAUUCUGUGACUUACGUAGUUUUUUUAUCUAACAUCCAACAACCUUCAAAUAAGAGGCAUAACUUACUAUUUAUAGAGAAAUAUAAAAUACUUUAUAAAUUAGCAAAAUAUCAAUUUGUCAUAUGAAUAAUAUUCAUAUAUUAAUUCGAGAUAAUUUUAGAAAUUAACUCAAUCAAAUCCUUGAUUUUUUUAUGUCUAGAAAUAUAAUCUAUGUAUUAAUUAUAUUAUAAUCCUUAAUUUCUAAAAUAUAUUUUAAUUAAGUUAUACUUAAUUAAAUCAUCUCAAUUUAAUUUCUGACUAAUGGUUCUUAAUGUGAAUAACUCAUUAGGUUUCUAAUAUGUUAGCCUAAAUAUAAAUUAUAAUUCUAAUGCAAUCGAAUUAAAUAAAUUAAAUAAUUUAAUUUAUUAUCAACUCAACAAUUGAUUAAUUUAUAUUUGAAGAUCAGGUGCAUCGUUUAGCAACGUGUCAUGAUACCCUAAAUAUUAGAAAAGUUAUUAGUGGUUUAACUUAACCUUUCAGUGACAGAUUUCUUAGUGUAAUUAAUAUCAUUUCAUCAAUAAUAUUUUGAUUUAACAUUAAAGCAUGGAGCAUGUCUGCUAUGUUAAAUCAUGUUUGUUCUCUACAUAAUAGUCAUUUAUCGUUUGAAUAAGAUUUGAAACUUUUUUCAAAUCUCAUUCCACCUUAGCCAAGGAUUUCUCAGUCAAUACUAUUUGAGAAUAUAUGAUUUUUUUUUAAUUCACCUAGGGUGAUGAAUUCUCUCUUAAUUAUUCAAGUAUUUUCAUAUAGUUCAUAUUAUACUUAAUGCAUGCCCCUUCGUUACCUUAAUUAAGAUAACAUGUAACAGAAUCAAAACAUAAUAUUUUCUAUAUAAUAUAACUUAGUGAUCUCAAAUUCAAGGAUCACUUACACAAUCAUCAUGUAAACCUUUCCAUAAACAUAGAUGAUAUUUCCAUAUGGAAUUCUCAUAUGAAUUAGUUUAAUGAACAUGUCUUAUGACAAGCAUCUACAUAUUAUUUCUAGGUAUUUAUUAUACCUAAGCCUAUGAGAAUAACUACUUUUUUUUUAUAAAAGAAAAAACAUAAUAUAUAUUAGUCUUUACGACCCUAAUAAAUGUCCAGUAUUUAAGAGAACAUCGACUAGGAACAUUUUAGAAACAAUACUUUGAUGCAAUAGGAAUCCUAUAAUUAUAACAACUUUAUAAUUUUCUUUGCAUAUUAUUUUUGUCUCAUGGACUUUAUAUUUACUCUAGAUUCAUAAAUCAAGACUUUAUUAAUAUUAAAGAUAAAUUAAGACUUCGUUAAUAAUAAAUAUCUAUUUACAUGAAUAUAAUAAUGUCACGUGUAACCAACUGAUUGGCUACAAUAUAUAUUAAACUAGCUAACAGACUUAAAACCAUUAUUCAAUAAAAAAAACUUGCAAGUAUAUCAUGUUUCUUACAUAUUCAGGAUAAAAGACUUGAAAGAAUUCAUUCCACAAGACAGGAUUAAAACCAAGUUGAAGACAUAAAUUAACGGACAGAAAACAAAAAAACACAAAAUAGUUAUGGAAGCAAACCAAGAGCGAUAGUAAAAUUCUCCUUGACUGGUUUGGAGAAUACUUUCAUUGGCUACAAGCCUUACACCAUGUGCUACAAUCAGAAUGAUUCUGCCUUCUCCUUGUUUUCUUUGAAUGUCUCCUUUUUAAAAAAAAAAUUAUGUCUUAUCUCCCCUUCUUUGUAAUAUUUUUUUUCUUUUUGCUUCUUUUCUCUUUCCCCCUUCUGUGCUUUCUUUCUGUCCCCCUUUGCUUGGACUUGUUGCUACCUUUUUAUCAGCGAGUAACAAUCUUUUUUGGAAAGGAAAUAAUCAUCAUUUUUUUAAGGAUUGAUUCUUGAAAUUAAAUGUUGACCAUCAAUAUUUCGUUCCUUGAUUUCUGGAGAGAGGAUCAAAGUUUGAGAUCUGAAUUUUGCAUCAAAAUGGAAAGGCUGGGCUGCUGGUCUUGAAGAAAGGCUGACUGAGGGGGCAUGUUUGGCUUAAAAUCUAUAGUGGAUCUUGAGAGUUAAAUCCUGAUUUCUUGUGUCAGGAUUAUAACUGGCAUAUUAGAAGACACGUUUCUUUUGUUUCUGUGCCACCGAGAGAUUCAAUUUGGACCAUGAUCAAGCCCUUAUAUGGUGUAAGAAGCAGUCGUUUCUGCCUUUCUAUUUCCCUGGAAAUCUGCAAAAGCCAUUAUCAAAAUGGAGUCGUUUCCUUCCUAUAUUCAUCAGUCUGUUUUUCCCUAUUUACUCAAAACGUAUUGUUUCAUUUAAUGUGAAAUUACGUCGUUUUGAGUCUUAAUUAGGGUCUUUCCAAUUCAAUCGGGCCAAACUUCAUAUAAGCCCCCUACAUUUCAACACCUUUUGCGUUUUAGUUCUUGGUAUUUGAAUCUUUUUUAAUUCGAUUCUUCAUUUUUAAGAUAAAUUGACUUUCAAUUUCAAUUUUUUCUUCAAUUAAGCCAUUAACUGAUUUUCUAACUUGGCUAAUUGUUUCAACUCAUCCUUGAACUUCAAUUUCUUUCAAUUUUAGUUAUAUUAAACUAGUCUUCUAUUUUCUUCCUCUAUUUUCUUUCAACAAUAGUCUCUUUGUCUUCUUUCCCGAUGAGAAAUAAAUCAACUUUUCCCUUCUUCCCUAAUUCCUCUGCAUCCUUUCCCUUUAUUUUCUUCUUCCAUCUCACCUCCUUUACUCUGUGAUAAAAAAAAAAUCUUAACUUGGCGAGUCUAAUCCCCCCAUUAGCUCUCUGACAUAUUUGUCAGACCCUCACUACCUUAUUUUCUUGGGUAUGCCAAGGGCGGAUGGUCAUUCUCUUGGGCGUUCCAAGGGAGGAUGCGCAUUCACAUGGGCGUGCCGGGGGCUUGACAUGCUGUGAAGCCCAAUCAAGGCUGGGUUUGACUAGUGCGAAACCCAGCAUUCUUAGGGCUUGGCGCACUGCCAAACCCAAUUGUGUCUGGGUCUGGAUUGCACUAGACCCAACAUGCCCUUGACUUGGGACAUUGCCGAGCUCCCGCGUGGCUGGGCUUGAUACACUACCAAACCCCCACUUGAGGUAUGCUCAUUCCUUUAAGCAUGUCCAAGAGAUAAGGAUGAUAGGGGUUUUUUAGACCAAUUAAAAAUAAGUUUAUCACCUAGGAUCUUGCUUCCCACAAUUUGUAGGGUACAUAAACAUCCACGUUUCAUCAUUCUCCAUGCCAUCGAAAAAUGGAUGCCCAUAAUCAUUCCAACAAACCUCACACCAGGUAACCCAGACGACCCAAUUUGACUGCCAAGAAAUUGGACAUGUUAGCUCCACCACUAUCUCCACCCAUGAAAAAUCGACUAAAAUCCGUGUGGUUAUUCAACCACGGCUCAGACCCAUUUCCUUUGACAUGUGAUGCUUUAGCCAUUAAAGCCCUACCCUAGAAUCUAUAUAACUUCCGGGUUUGGGCCUCUCUGGCCAUAGCUCGUAUUCAAGCGAUACAGUAAGGACAUUGGAUUCAGCAACCAGUGCCAAUAAAUGGCUGUGAAAAAGUGGUGAGAAGGCAGACUCAAAGCAAAAGCCGCCACCAUUCAUGUAGUAGAGGACUGAUACUUUUUUUUUCUACUGUAAAAAAAUGUGUUUCUAAGCAACCAGUUUUUCUAAACAAACUUAAAUGUUUAGCCAUUUUAAACCAAAUUAGGAUCAUAUUGACCAAAUUCGAUUCACAUAUUACCGGUAAUCUAAUUAAAUUAUUAGGAUCAUAUUGUAAACAUUGAAACCGAGAUAAUCAUUAAGACAAUAUAAAAUAAUGUUGAUAAAAGAUAAUCAACCGCCAAACCUACUUUUGUCCGGUAGUGAACGGUGGAGAGGACGACACAAGUCCAUGAUUGUUGAGUGAUAAAAAAACAAACAUCCAAACACCAACUUUUGAGAUGAAUCUUUUUUAUUUUUUUGACUCGAUUUAGGAUGUGUACGACGAGUACACGCAAGUUGAAUAUUUUUUUCAAUUUAAAAAAAUCUAAAAAUAUUAAAAAAUUAAAAAUUUAAUUAUAUUGAUCAUAAUAUUUUAUAAAUACUUAUGCGGUGAUAUAUGUUUUUAUUUUUCAAAAAACUAUAUUAAAAUAAUAAUACUUUUUAUUGGAUUAUUUCGAUUAAAAUAAAAUCAUAAAAUUUAUAUCCAAACUGAAUAGAAAAACCAAUCAUAAAUGACCAAAUAUUUAAGGCUAUAAGUUGAAAAAAAAUCCAUAAAAAAAAAAAAUUACCGAAGCAAACCUAUAUUGUAGAGCUGCUGUUAAGUGAAGUUUAUUAAAUUCCUCACCAUAUAUGAGAUCAUGUGUAGUUGUGUGCCCUUAAGAUCAUCAAAUAAAAGAUUUAAUCUUCUUUUCAGGUGGAUUUGAUCACUUGGUAUGUUUGUCAAUUAGUUGUUUUACAAUGCUGAUGCCUAAACAAAGUUAUAUAAAAUCUGUUUGGAAAUACAGUGUAAAUUGUAUUUUUUUAAAUUUUGAUUUUGAUUUUAUUUUUAUUAAAAAUUAAUUUUUUUAUAUUUUCAGAUCGUUUUGAUGUGUUAAUUUUAAAAAUAAUUUUUAAAAAAUAAAAAAAUAACAUGAUUUUAAUGUAUUUAUAUAUAAAAAAUACUUUGAACCGUAACUGAUACCAUAAUUCCAAACAUGCUCAAAAACUAAAAAGAAAAAACAGUGAAUUUAAUAUAUCAUCCUCUGAUUUAGCAGAUCUAACGGGAUAGGCAAAACAAUAGCUACAAUCCAUUUUCUUUCACUAAAAUGCUAUUCGUACUAAACCGUUUGGGAACACGGUUCAAAUCAUGUUUCUAAAAAAUUCAAAAAUAUUUUUUUUGCUAAAAUUUAAUAUGGUUUGUAUGUUUUGAAUCGUUUUGAUGUGUUGAUGUUAAAAAUAAUUUUAAAAAAAUAAAAAAAUAUCAUUUGCAUGCAUUUCGACAAGAAAAGUUAUUUGAAAAACAAUCGCUACCACAUUACCAAACAUAUUCUACGUAUCGCUGAAAAAAAAAAAGUAAAGACUGAAACAAUGGCCAUCGCUUCCCUCUUCAACAGCCGAGCAAGAACAAGUUAAGCCUUCCCUUCUCAAAGCCAUGCUCGAUCUCUCUAUAAUAAUUCCUUCUCUUUUCUUGUUUUGCUGUUCUUUCUUGACAUUGAAAAGAAAAGAAGUUAAUUUCCUACCCAUUUGUUCUAUCUCUAUGAAAUGCUUAUUCUCUUCAGAUUCCAAAAUUCUUCUCUUGGUAUAGUGCUUCUCUCUUUGUAUGUAUUUAUAAUAGUAAUUAAUUUUUGUUUAAAAAUAUAUUAAAAUAAUAUUUUUUAAAAUAUUUAAAUUUUUUUAUAUCAAUAUAUUAAAAAAAUUCAAAAAUAUUAAAAAAAAAUUUAAACAAAAAAAAAUUAAUUUUUUUGAAAACGAUAUUUCUAAAAAAAGAAAAAAGUAUUAGCGAGGGACAAGAAUGAAGCGUAUGCAUACUCUUAUUUUAGGGUGUUUCCUUGUAAUUUUAACAUGAUACGCGCAUUUUAUAACAUCACACAACUUACUUUUCAAUCAUUAACGUUAAUUUUUUUUGUAGGGUUAGUAAAUUGAAAAAACGAAAAGGAAAAAAGGAGGUGUAAAAACUAAUAAAAGUAAUGCAGACACGUUGAUAUUAUUUGAAAAAUUAUUUUUUUACUUGGAAAAGAAAAGGCAAAGAAAUCACGAGAUAGCAUAUAAGAAUGAGAAGCGAACAAAAAAAACCAAAAAACUGAUUAAACCGAGAAACCAGAGAAAAAAACUGAAAAAAAUCGAACCGUAAAAAAAAACCGAUUAUAAUUUUUAAAAAACCGACCGGUCUGGUUCGGUUUCGAUUUUAUAAGCCUGAAACUGAAAAAAUCGAGCCGAAUCGAACCUAAACCGAAAACAAACAGGAAAAAACCGAGCCAAACAAAAAAAAUAGCGCCUAACAGAGCCAAAACCGAUUUGAACUGGUUUUUUUUCAAAAUAACUGAACCGAACCGAAUCGAACCAAACCUAGUCGGUUUGAACCGGUUUUGGUUUUUUAAAAAAAACCGGUUUGGCUACCUUUUUUUUUUUAUAAAAAUCAAAGCAAACAAAAAAUGAUCACCCCUAAUAAGAAUAGAUACCAACCUAACAUGUAAUGAAGAAAAGAUAACUAAUUCAAAGGAAAAGAAAAUAAAAGAAAAGAAAAAAAGAGUAUCGAGUUGCAACCUAUAGCACAAUGGUACUUUGACGCAUUUAAAAGCAAACACCUAUUUAAUAUUGAUGUGCUUUUAAAUUACAACUGCCUUUUUGUUUUAAAAAUUAUGUUUUGUUAAGUUAUACUUUACUUUAAAAAUAAAAUACUUAUACUUUAAAUGUAAAUUAUUUUACUUAAAAAAAAAGCAACACAUUCACUAACUAAAAGUAAAACAAUUCAUCAUUAUACAAUUAAUUUGCUGUUUUUUAAAAUAAAAAUAUUUUUUCAAAAAAGUAUGGCAUUGUUUUACUAAUUUUACUUUCAUAUUAUUAUGAAAUAAAAACACAUCGAUAUAGUAAUACAAAUUAUAGAGGUAUCAGAGAAUAGUAAAUUGAGAUUUCCGCUAGAGUUUUUUAUCCCCAUCAUGGUGAAUGUACACCACCUAAACACGAAGUCUAUUUUAAAAAAGAAACAUUUUUUUGUUGAAAGAGAACUAGUCGCUCACCCGGUUUAGUCAGCAAAAUACUAUUCCUAUUUAAAUUAAUAUUUUCUUUUGUUAGUUUAAUUCCUUGAUUGUCUAAGACUUUAUGCAUAUAAAAAGACUUGUAAUUCAACAUUAUUCAGAAGUACAAAAAGAGAAAGAAUAACUAAAAGAGUUUAGAGAUAAACAUUUAAUAAAAGUAUAUCUUCCUUUCAAUCUUCUUCUUGUUCUUGAGUUUUUGACUUUGCAUUACUGUUUUUGAUCUUAUACCACACCUAUCUUCCUUCCAACAAGUGGUAUCAAAGCUUAGAUUUGAUAAUUUGACAUAUUCAAUCCAAACUUCUCGUUUAAUGUCCUAGGUUGACAAAAGAUAACUAUGAAACUUGGUAUAUUCAAGUAAAAGCUUGGCUAGGUUCCCAAGAUGUAUGAGAGAUGAUUGAAAAAGACUUUGAGGAGCCUAUAGAUGGACCAACGUUGACUUCAUCCCAAAGGAAAGCUGUGCAAAAAGCACGAAAGAAGGAUCAACAAGCAUUCACAAUCAUCCACCAAUGUCUAGAUGAUGUCACUUUUAAGAUAGUGGCCAAUGCAACCACCGCCAAGCAAGCAUGAGAAGUUUUGCAAGAAUUAAACUAAGGAGCUGGAAUGUGAGAAAAGUACUUCUAUAAAAGCUAUGUGGUGAUUUUGAAAAGUUAUAUAUGCUUGAAUCAAAAAAUAUUUUAAAAUACUUUGUAAGAGUAUUGACUAUAUACAAUCAAAUAAAGAGAUAUUGGGAGAAGAUGAAUGAGACAUGUGUGGUAGAGAAGAUCCUACGCUCGUUGUAAAACAUGGAUUUUCUUUCAAUCCAAGGUCUCAUGGGAAAAUACAAGCUCAUGAGAAAAAAAUCAAUAACAUUUAAGAAAAUAUGGGUAUACAAACACUUUUUUUCAAAGCAAGAUGGUUAUGGAUAUUCAUAAGGGGGUAAAGGACGUGGCAAAGCAAAUGAAGAGGAGGUCAUGGUAGCCUUAAUAGGUCAAUCGGUCAACCGCAUGAAGCAAACCCGUCGACCGGUUACACUGUCAGUGACAAUCUAAAAUCUAGAUUUGACAAAUUUAAAGUUAAAUGUUAUAAUUGUCAAAAGGUUAGCCAUUAUGCUAGGGAUUGUUGGAGUCCAACAAAAAAGGUUGGAAAGAAUGCAAAUCUAGUGAUAGAAGAAGAGAAGAAAGACACCUUACUACUAGUGAUGUAAAACAAAAAGAGAAUAUGGUAUCAAGACAAUGGAGCUAGCAAACGUAUGUAUGGAGACAAAGAUAGGUUCAUGGAGCUUGAUGAAACAAUUAGAGAUAAUGUCACCUUCGUAGAUCAUUUAAAGGUUGUCAUCAAAGGAAAAUAUAUGAUUUUGAUUAAAUUAAAAGAUGAUCUUUGUGGGUUAUGAUCAAAAGUUCAAAGGAUGCAAGCUUUACAACCCUAAUAAAGAAAAGAUGAUGAUUAAUAGAGAUGUAGAAUUCAAUGAAGAAGGAGCAUGGGAUUGGAAGGUAGAUGAUGGUGAGAAAUAUGACUUCCUACCGAUUCUCAAUGAAGAGGAUGAAAUAUAUGAAGAUCAUCAAGAAUCUAUAGUUACACCUCCACAAACACUAAUGAGCUCAACUUCUCUUUCUUCUUUUUCCUCUUUUUCUAGUGGAAGCUCAAGUAGUGGAACUUCACCAAGAAAAAUGAGGAGCCUUGAUGACUUAUAGAAAGUAAUUAAUCUAAUUGAUGAUGAUAUAACACUAUAUUGUCAUCUUACUACAUGGGAUCCUGUAAUGUUUGAAGAAGUAAUAAAGGAUGCAAAAUGAAGAAUUGAUAUGGAUCAAGAGAUUGCAUUAAUUGAGAAGAAUGACACAUAAAGAUGAGUUCGUAGACCAAAUAGAAAGAAGCCAAUAGGUGUCAAGUGGAUCUACAAAGAAAAAAAGAAUGCCAAAAAAGAGUUGGAGAGAUACAAAGCAAGAUUAGUGGUAAAAGGUUAUAAUUAAAAGCAUGGGAUUGACUAUGAUGAAGUAUUUGCUCUCAUUGCUAGAUUAGAAACUAUUCAAUUAAUUAUUGCCACUGUUGCCCAAUAUAGAUUGAGAAUAUAUAAAAUAGAUGUCAAAUCAACCUUUCUUAAUGGUUUUUCUUGAAAAGGGGGUCUAUAUUGAGCAACCUAUGGGAUAUGAAGUGAAGGGACAUGAAGACAAGGUAUUAAAGUUAAACAAAGCCUUGUAUCGAUUGAAGUAAACCCCUAAGGUUUGGUAUAGUCAUAUUGAUGGCUAUUUUUUAAAGAAUGGAUUUGUUAAAUGCUCCCAUGAAUAUGUUAUCCAUAUAAAGAUCAAAUAAAGUGGUGAUACUCUUAUUGUAUGUUUGUAUGUAGAUGACUUGAUCUUUACAGGAAAUAAUCCAAAGAUAUUUAAAGACUUCAAACAAGCAAUGAUCAAGGAGUUUAAUAUGACAUAUAUUGGUCUUUUAUCCUAUUACUUAGGGAUUGAAAUCAAACAAUGAGAAAAUAUAAUCUUUAUGAAUUAAUAGAAGUUUGAAAGGGAUGUUCUCAAGAAGUUUAAGAUGUCAAAGAAUGAUGAAAGAGAGAAGAUAGACUCUAUAAUAUUCAAGAGCUUAGUUUGGAGUUUGAGAGUUUUAACAAACACUCGUCCAAAUAUUAUUUUUAGAGUAGGACUUAUGAGUAGAUUUUUGGAGACACCAAAAUAUUAAAGCGAAUUCUUCGGUAUAUUAAAGGUACUAUUGAUUUUGACUUAUUCUAUGGUUAUUCUAAUUGCUUUGAGCUUGUGGGUUAUAAUGAUAAUGAUUGGGCUGAGGAUAUGAAUGAUAAAAAAAGCAUUACGGGUUUUUUUUUCUAUAUGGGAGACACAUCAUUCACGUGGAGUUCAAAGAAGUAAUUCAUAGUCACUUUGUCAACAUGUGAAGUUGAAUAUAUAGCUACCACAUCAUGUGUUUGUCAUUCCAUGUGAUUAAAGAGAUUAUUGAAGGAAUUGUGAAUGACACAAGAGAAACAUACUGAAAUUUAUGUGGACAACUCAUCAAUCAUUGCAUUAACAAUCCAUUAUUUCAUGAUAGAAGUAAGCAUAUUGACACAAGAUUUCAUUACCUAUGAGAUUGCAUUGCAAACAAGAAAGUUGAAGUUAAGUAUGUGAAGAUAAAAGAUCAAGCUGCAGAUAUAUUCAUAAAACCACUCAAAUAUGAUGUAUUUAUUAAGAUGAGAGAUUUGUUAGGAGUUAUGAAGAGAGAGAUGUUGAAAGUAAACUAGAUUUCAAUUCUAAAAAAUAGAGGUACUAGUCAACUGGCUGGAAUAAGUUGAACAGGUUGACUGGUUUAGUCGGUAGAAUACUAUUCCUAUUCAAAAUAGGAUUUCCUUGUAUUAAUUUAAUUCAUUGAUUGUCUAGAAUUUUAUGUCUAUAAAAAAACUUAUAAUUCAAUAUUAUUUAGAAGUACAAAAAGAAAAAAUAACUAAGAGAGUUUAGAAAUAAAUAUUUAAUAAAAAUAUAUAUAUUUCUCUCAAUUUUCUUCUUUUCUUCUUGUUCUUGAAUUUUUUAUUUUACUGUUUUUAUCUUGGACCACAGUUAUCUUCCUUCCAACAACUUGUGCAUGAACUCCAAACUCUUCUCACUGUUGAAAUCACGCGAAAAGAAGCAAUGGCCUUCGUUUUCGUUCUCGACAAUUUCAACGUUUCCUUUCCACCCACUAUUCUUCAAUUUCUCGUAAUAGUUCUUUCCCACAACAUUCAAAUAGUCUUAAGAUCAGCACCCUCUCACAAAGAUCCUCCAAACCGGGAUUCAUCCUUGGAUCAUCCAAUCCACCAUUAUUUGUGCACAUUUACAACCACAUUUCAUCAUCUUCGGUGCCACCAAAAAAUGGAUGUGUCAUAAUAAUUCCAACUAAGUGCACUCCUGGUAACCCAAUUGACCCGACCCGGAAUGCAAGAGUAUGUGAAAUAUACCUCCAGCACUAUCUCCCCCCACAAAAAGUUCACCAAAAUCAGUAUGGUCACUCUGCCACAGCUCAGAGCCACUCCCAUCAGCAUGCGAAGCCACCCACUGGAGCGCCUUCCACGAGUCCUCGUAGCAUACAGGUAGAGGUCGGGCCGGGAAGAGACCAUAUUCCACAUAGACCACAAUAACGUUAGCCUCAGCAGCUAUUUAAUUUGUUGCACAAAACGUGGUAGGGAGCAUCGAAGGCAGAAAACAUUACAAAGCCACCCUCAUGAAUAUAAAGUAAGAGAGGGAAUUUUCGUCAGGGGUUUUGAGUUCUACCAAGAAGAUCAAGUGUAGACACUUGAGGUUCAGUUUGUUAAAGUAAUUCAGAUCAAACAUAAAAGGAGGCUAGAAUUCUCAAUGAUAUGUUUAUUAUGAGUGCUUAAGUUAACCUAAAUACAAAGGAAUUAUAUAUAGGUUAAACUGAAAAUACUAUUCUACCCUUAAUAAAUAAAACUAGAUAAAUAUUACUUAACAUCUCCCCUCAAACUCACGAUGCGACAUCUACAAGCAUCGAGAGUUUGCUAACUAGAAAACAAAAACGAGAUAUGAAAUGCGUCUUGGUAAAGAAAUCUGCAAUCUACAAGGAAGAAUGAACAAAAUGCAAAGUAAUGGUGCCAUGCUUGAGAUGAUGACGAGUAAGAUGACAAUCGAUCUCAAUGUGCUUAAUUCGCUCAUAAAAACCGAGUUGUGAGCAAUUUGAAUAGAACUCUGGUUGUCACAAUUCAUAGGAGUAGGAUGAGAAAAGAAAACUCUCAUAUCAGUAAGUAACCAACGUAACCAAACAAUCUCUUUGGUAGUAGAUGCCAUGACAGAAGCUGAAGGAAAGUUGAAAUACCAGAUUUUGCAGAAGCGGAAGACAAAAUAUCACUCCAAAUUUUUUUAUUUUUCUUGCAGAAAUUUAAUUCAAAUACCAAAUUGCAGAAACUGAAGAGAAGAAAAAAUACCAAAACAAUUGCAAAGACAGAACAGAAAUACCAAAUUGCAGAAGCUGAUACCAAAUUGCAGAAACUGAAGAGAAGACGAAAUACCAAAACAAUUGCAGAGACAGAACAGAAAUACCAAAUUGCAGAAGCUGAUACCAAAUUGCAGAAGCUGAAAAGAAGACGAAAUACCAAAACAAUUGCAGAGACAUAACAGAAAUACCAAAUUGCAGAAGCUGAAGAGAAGAUGAAAUACCAAAAUAAAUGCAGAGACAGACAGAAAUACCAAAUUGCAGAAGCUGAUGGACAGUCCAAAUACUAGAUUUUGCAGAAGCGGAAGACAAAAUAUUACUCUAAUUUUUAUUAUUAUUUUUUUUUUUUGUAGAAACUUAACUCAAAUACCAAAUUGCAGAAACUGAAGAGAAGACGAAAUACCAAAACAAUUGCAGAGACAGAAAAAAAAUACCAAAUUGCAGAAGCUGAUACCAAAUUGCAGAAACUGAAGAGAAGACGAAAUACCAAAACAAUUGCAGAGGCAGAACAGAAAUACCAAAUUGCAGAAGCUGAAGAAUCUAAAAUAAAGUUUCAGAUAUUAAUUCUUCAGCCGCAAGCACAAAACUUGAUCUUCAUCCUCCAUCUUUUAAUAGGUCAAACAACCCAUGUCUGAUGUUUUGAAAAAUGAAUCUGAAGUUAAGCUUCAAAGGAAUGCAUUGAGCGUGCUGGAACAUCCUACAGGGAAUGAAGUGGAUGAUGAUAACGAUUUUGAUACGAGCAGUGGCUCUAACAUUGGUGAACAUGAUUUCUACAAGGGCAGCGAGUUCCAUAAAAUUAAGUCAAGGGUUCGAUCAACUAGGCUCUGAUACCAUGUUAAAUUAAUUCAGAUCAAACAUAAAAGGAGGCUAGAAUUCUCAAUGAUAUGUUUAUUAUGAGUGCUUAAGUUAACCUAAAUACAAAGGAAUUAUAUAUAGGUUAAACUGAAAAUACUAUUCUAUCCUUAAUAAAUAAAACUAGAUAAAUAUUACUUAACACAGUUGAGAUGAUCACAUCCUUGGACUGGACCCCUGUAAUCAGAUCAUGGGACGGUGGCAUUUUCUGGAAUAAAUCCGACCACAAUAAUUCGACCCGACCAUCUUUGAAUACGUCGAAGACUGGGAAACUGGACUUGAUAACGCCAUUGCUCAGAGAGAGAAGCUUGACUUGUUGAAGAAGGGUUGAGGAGCAAGGAGGAGAAAAAAGUGUAUGUGUUGUCUACUUAUGGUUCAUUCAAGAUAUGCAUGCAGUAUACCCUCUAGUACAGGAGAAUUUUCGGCCAUCAAGUGAGGAAUGGCAAAGCUUUGUCGUCGCUUAGUGAUGCCAGAAUGAAUUAAUUGACAAUAAACUGAAAUUGCUCAGUGUUUUUCUGAGCUAGUUUACAGUGAAACGCUGAGUUUUUUUUUUCUGUUUUUUUUCUGUUUUUUUUGUUUUUUAUGUCUUUAUAGGUUUUUUUUUUUGCUUUUUUCUUUAUGUAUUUUUCUUUUAAUGAAUUUUUUUUGUUUAAUUUAGUUUGUUAAUGUGAAUUUUUUUAUUUAGUUAUCAGAUUUUCAUAACACGGAUCUCGGGUUUGACGGGUUAACCUGGUUUGACGAGUUAACCCGAAUUUUUUUUUCUUUUCUUUUAAAUUAAUAACAUAUACUAAAACUGUUCAAUGUUUCACUGUGCAGUCUACAGUGAAACGCUAAGCUGUUUUUAUUUUGUUUUAAAUUUUUUUUUGUUUAAUUUAUUUUAUUUUUUUGCUUUUUAUGCCUUUAUGGGUUUUUUUUUGCUUUUUUUCUGUGUUUUUUUUUAUGAAUUGUUUUUGUUUAAUUUAGUUUGUUAAUGUUAAAUUUUUUUUUUUUAGUUAUCAGACUUUCAUGACACGGAUUCCGGGUUUGACAGGUUAACCUGGUUUGACGAGUUAACCUGGAAUUUUUUUUUUGCUUUUUUUAAAGUUUGACGAGUUAACCCAGAAUUUGUUUUUUGCUUUUUUCUUUUUAAUUAAUUUUUUUUGUUUAGUUUAUUUUUUUAAUGUUAAAUUUCUUUCUAUUUAAUUAUCAGACUUUCAUGACACGUAUCCCGGGCUUGACGGGUUAACCCGUCAAUUUGUUUUUCUAUUUAGUUAUCAAACUUUCAUGACGCGAAUUCCAGGUUUAACGGGUUAACCUGGUUUGAAGGGUUAACCCAGUUAAUUCAUAUUUUUUUUCUUUUGCUUCAUUAGUUUUUUUCUUCCUAUUGGUUUUUUUUCUUUGUUUUUUUAAUUAAUCUAUUUAAUUAUCACAUUUUUAUGACACGACCUUGUAGCCAGACCCACAUUCAAGACUCUUGGAUCCGGUGUUGUAGCCAGACUCACUUAAACUUAAGUCAGGUAAGUUUAAUAUUAUUAAUAUUAUAAAUAUUACUCUUGGGUCAAGCGUUGCAGCAAAACCAAAGGCUCUUGGGCAUAUCUUUGUAGAAAGAUCUAACACUUUUAGAUCUUAGCCUUUUUUAUAUUUUUUAUGCAAGAAAAAAAAUUUAACCCGUGGCGUGUGCCUUUAUUUUUUUUUCUUUUCCUUUUUAAGCCUUUUACUGUGGAUUGCACAAUACAGUUCAUAGUGAAAAAGCUGAUGCCUUUAGUUUUUUUUUGUCUUUUUUUUAAUUAUUUUUUUAAUUUAGUUUCUUAAUAUUAAAUUUUUUCUAUUUAAUUAACAGACUUUCAUGACAUGGAUCCCAGGAUUGACGCGUUAACCCAGUUUAUUCAGAUUUUUUUCUUUUUCUUCAUUAGUUUUUUUCUUCCUGUAGGUUUUUUUUCUCUUUGCUUUUUCCUUUUUAAUUAAUCUUUUUUUAAUUUAUUUCAUUAAUAAUAAAUCAUUUUUCUAUUUAGUUAUCACACUUUCAUAACACGAAUUCCAGCUUUGACGGGUUAACCUGAUUUGACGGGUUAACCAGGUUGAUUCAGAUUUUUUUUCUUUUUCCUCAUUAGAUUUGUUCUUCUGAUUUCAUCUUUUAAUAUUGUAUACAGUCCACAGUGAAAAGGCUAAAACCUUUAGUUUUUUUUUUAUGCCUUUCACUGUGGACUGCACAGUGCAGUCCACGGUAAAAAGGCUGAUGCUUUUUCUUUUCUUUUUAAUUAAUUUUUUUAUGUAGUUUGUUGAUAUUAAUUUUUUUUUAUUUAGUUAUCAGACUUUCAUGACACGGAUCUUAGGUUUGACGGGUUAACCUGAUUAAUUUAAAUUUUUUUUCUUUUUCUUCAUUAGUUUUUUUCUUCUUAUAAGUUUUUUUUUUCUUUUAUUGUUUCUUUUUAUUUAAUAUUUUUUUUAUUUAAUUUAGUUCAUCAAUAUUAAAUUAUUUUCUAUUUGGUUAUCGACUGAUGCCUUUAGUUUUUCUUUUUUUUUUUUCUUUUUUUUUGUUGUUUUUAUGCCUUUAAUUGUGAACUGCACACUGUAGUCCACAGUGAAAAGGCUGGUGUCUUUUUUUUUUUUCCUUUUUAAUUAAUUUCUUUCGUUUACUUUAGUUUGUUAAUGUUCAAUUUUUUUCUAUUUAGUUAUCAAAUUUUCAUGACAUGGAUCCCGGGUUUGACAGGUUAGCCUAGUUAAUUUUGUGUUAACCCGUCAAUUUUUUUUUUCUAUUUAGUUAUCAAACUUUCACGACAUGAAUCCAAGGUUUGACGGGUUAACCUGGUUUAAAGGGUUAACCCAGUUAAUUCAUAUUUUUUUUCUUUUUCUUCAUUAAUUUUUUUCUUCCUUUUGGUUUUUUUUUCUUUUUAAUUAAUCUAUUUAAUUAUCACACUUUUAUGACACGACCUUGCAGCUAGACCCACAUCCAAGACUAUUGGGUCUGGUAUUACAGUCAAACCCACUUAAACUUGGGUCAUGCAAGUUUAAUAUUAUUAUUAAUAUUAUAAAUAUUACUCUUGAGUCAGGCGUUGCAGCCACACCCAAGACUCUUGGGUAUAGCUUUACAAAAAAACCUAAUAGUUUUAGAUCUUAACUUUUUUUGAUAUUUUUUAUACAAAAAUCAUUAACCCGUAGCAUCGCGCGGGUCACGCAACUAGUUAUAAAACAAACUUGGACUGAUUCCGUAAAAACUGUUAAGAAUGAAUUAAUUAAAAGGAUACUGAAUUAAAUGAUUUGAAAAAGAUAAAAUAAAAAUUAAUCUAAAUUUUGAUGGGAUGGAUGAAUGACGAAUCAAACGUUAUUAAUUCAUAUUAGUUUUUUAUACCUAACCUAGAUAAGGUAACAUGUCAAUCACGUCCUAGAUAGCUGGCCAGGCCCGACAAGUUUUAAUAAUUGUGAUUCAAUCAACAAAUAUUGAGGGUUGGCAAAACCUUGUAGUCGCUCAGCGAUGUGAGUU